CACGAACCGUCCAAACGUUAUUCGGAAUCAUUGGGCUUAAAGGGUGCGUAGGCGGUGCGGUAAGUUGGGUGUGAAAUCCCUCGGCUCAACCGAGGAACUGCGCCCAAUACUGCCACACUCGAGGGAGACAGAGGUAAGCGGAACUGAUGGUGGAGCGGUGAAAUGCGUUGAUAUCAUCAGGAACACCAGUGGCGAAAGCGGCUUACUGGGUCUCUUCUGACGCUGAGGCACGAAAGCUAGGGUAGCGAACGGGAUUAGAUACCCUCGUA
RNAcentral lists this ribosomal RNA (269 nucleotides) under uncultured prokaryote. Its description in RNAcentral is "partial 16S ribosomal RNA". It matches the Rfam family "Bacterial small subunit ribosomal RNA", at positions 524 to 792 of the family's 1533-position model. The record is from RNAcentral.